Camelus dromedarius (Arabian camel) is the source of this 3261-nucleotide long non-coding RNA. RefSeq lists it as uncharacterized. NCBI's taxonomy places the organism in Eukaryota, Metazoa, Chordata, Mammalia, Artiodactyla, Camelidae. The transcript is spliced from 5 exons. The record is from RefSeq and is a predicted model, not a curated record.
CGCGAGCCUGAGGCCUCGCGCGGCCGCGUGACUCCUGCGUAGUUAUCCGGGCCCUGCCGGCCUCCGCCGGAACGCGGGACCUUUCGCAGACUUACUCAGGAGGCCUGGCUGUCAGCAGCUCGGUGAUGCGCCCGGGGGUUGGACUUUAUCCAGGAUCUCCUUGCUCCCUGGCUUACCUGACAGGAGAGAAGGGAGAUAAACUAAAUGACGAGCUAGACCCCCAGCCCUGCAUAUGGGCCUGGGGGCUGCCCGGAAAACUAAACCAGGGGCCCGCCAGUGAGGACCAACCGUGUAUCUGGAUCAGUCCCUGAAAGAGAAGAAAGAACACUGAUAACCACAGAAGCGAAACUGACCCUUCACCAGAGGUAGUUUGAGAAGCACGGAGGCCUCAUCACAAGCCUGAGAGCAAUGAAUAGAAGAGAUGUGUGCAGCCCAAGAACGGGUGAAAACUUCGUUUUUCUAUCUUAACAGGACUCUGCACAAGCCCUAGGCUGCCUGCUCUACCCAGCUGCCCUUGCGGCACGUCUGCCAUCCCAAACCAGCCAUCUGGAGCCUCUGGCUCCUCCAGACACCUCUACACUCACUGGGAUGAAGCCCCACGCUUCCCAAGUGGCUGCCGAAGAAGCUGGGUGGUGCAACCCAGAAGGGCACGUGAGCUCACUGCCCCGUGGAGAACCGUAGUGCAAUGGGAGACUGGAAGAGGGAGAGCCAGUAGGGAGGACAGAGAAGAAAUGAAAAUGUCCUGAGGAGGUGAUAUCUGCAGUGGAAUCUACAAUAACAGCCCUGGGCAAAGGUCUUUCUGGAGGAACUGAGAAGACAAGUACACGAAGGAGGAAUAUGUGGCCAGAGCUUAGUUUCUGGUUCAGUUGAGCCACAUGACAUCAAGCCUCAAGCAAGAUGAUCCCAGAUUGGGCAGGAGGCUCAGGAAGGGACCAGGUAACCUCUUCUCCCAGCCUAGCUCCUUCCACAGGCUCACCCCACUACACACCACACACACGCCAUUCAGGUCUCUGCUCAAACAUCACCUCCUCAUGCAAUCUUCCCCACCCCAUCCCAUCCACUUGUUUCAUUUUCUUUGUGUAACUAUUGGGAUUUUUUUCCCUAACUUUUUAAAAAAUAGUGAGUAACUAUAAAAUCCUAUCUUUAAAAUAUACAUCCAGCAUAAAAAAUGAUGCAGUGAAUGUUCUCAAACUCACUCCCAGCCCCUCGCCCCCAGGUAACUGUCUCCCAGUUCCCUGCCCUUCCUUUCCCCUGACAGGAAACCACCAUCCAAAGUUUUUGUUUUCAGUUCCUUUUUCAUUACAGUUUUACCUUGGUGUUUGUAUGAGGUAAGACUGUAUUACUUGCAUUUCUAAAUAAUAUUUUGUGAGCUUUCAUGUAUUUUUAAACUUUAAACAGGUGAGAUCUUUUUUUUUCUUUUUAAGGUUGAACUUUGUUGUUAUGUGUAGCUGUAAUUCUUUUUUUUUUUUAAUAUUUACAAUUUUUUUUCUUUUUUUAAUUAGGGGGAGGUAAUUGGGUUUAUUUAUUUAUAUUUGGAGGAGGUACUAGGAAUUGAACCCAGGACCUCAUGAAUGCUAAGCUUGUGCUCUGCUUGAGCUAUACGCCCCCAUAGCUAUAAUUCUUUCAUUGUCCCCUGAUGUGAAGUUCUCUAUGUGCACAUACUUGCACUUAAAAAAAAGAAAAUCCACUGUUCUGUUUAGAGACCACUUAUUUCUGCUUUCUGCUGUUAAGAACUGUGCUACUGUCUCAUACCCAAAAAGCUUAUUAAUUACAAAAGAAAAAAAAAUGACGUGGGGAAAAUGGACACGACCUUCACAAAGUAAUCAAAGUGAACACCACCAAGAAGCGGCACACACUGUGUUCCUCCUGUGAUGCAUGAGGAGGGUGCAGCACUGCUUCUGUGGUUUUCUAGUCCAAGAGCUUGAUCUGAAACUAAUUUUGAGGAAGCAUCAGAGAAACCCCAGUGAAGGGCCUUUUAUAAAAUAACUGGCCUGUAUUCUUUUUAAAAAUAGUCUUUAGUUUUUAGAGCAGUUUUAGGUUUGCAGCAAGAUUGCGCAAAAGGUACAGAGAUGUUUCCAUAUCCCCCCUGCAACUAUGCACACACAGCCUCCCUCACUAUUAGAUCCCACUCCGGAGGGGUACAUUUAUGACAACCAAUGAAGCUACUUUGACACAUCAAAGUCACCCAGAGCCCGUGGCUUACAUUAGGGUUCACUCUCGGUGUUGUACAUCAUAGGGUUUUGCCAAAUGUAUAAUGACAUUGAUCCACCAUUAUAGUAUCAUUCAGAAUAGUUUCACUGCCCUAAAAAUCCUCUGUGCUCUGCCUAUUUAUGCCUCCCCCCACCACCACCAUUGGGCAACCACUGCUCCUUUUACUGCCUUCAAAGUUUUGUCCUUUCCAGAAUGUCAUAUAGUUGGAAUCAUACAGUAUGUAGCCUUUUCAUAUUGGCUUCUUUCACUUACUAACAUGCAUUUAAGUUUCCUCCAUGUCUUUUUGUGGCUUGAUGGCUCCUUGGUGCUGAAUGGUAUUCCACUGUCUGGAUGUACUACUUUAUUUAUCCAUCCGCCUAUUGAAGGACAUUAUGUUUGCUUCCAAGUUUUGGCGGUUACAGAAAAAGCUGUUAUAAACAUUUGUGUGCAGGUUUUCAACUUAUUUCAGUAAAUACCAAUGAAUGUAAUUGCUGGAUGGUAUGGUAGAGUGUGUUUAGUUUGGUAAGGAACUACCAAAGUGGUGUCUCUCACAGUGGCUGUACCAUUUUGUAUUGCCACCAGCAGUGAAUGAGAGUUCCUGCUGCUCCACAUCCUUGUCAGCAUUUGGCGUUGUUAGUUAUUUUGAAUUUUGGCCAUUCUAAUAGGUGUGUAGUGGGUCUUGUAGUUUUGGCUUGUGUUCUUAAAGAAUGUCAAUGACAUAACAAGAAAAGCUGAAGAAGAGGUUCAGAUGACAGAACACUAAAUAGAAGUGACAACUAGCCACAAUACAGGGUCUUGGACUGCAUCCUGUCCAGGGGUUAAAAAGUGUAAGACAUUAUUAGGACAGUUGACAGAACUGGAAUAGGGAAUGUAGAUUAGUCUUCUAGCAAUGUUAAGUUUCCUGAAUUUGAUCAUUGCCUAUAUUAUCAUUCUUAGAACAUGCAUAUUAAAAGAUUAAGGUGUAAGUGUCUUAAAAAUGCAAUCUAUUCUCAAAUGAAUCAGAAAAAAAUAUAGAUAAAUAUAAAGAAAGGAAAUGUGGCAUACCUUAGCAAUUUGUGGAUGAGGGAAAUA